Non-coding RNA from Acomys russatus (golden spiny mouse), 429 nucleotides. Lineage: Eukaryota; Metazoa; Chordata; Mammalia; Rodentia; Muridae. The record is from the annotation of a RefSeq genome assembly.
AUGAACAAGGUCCUGAAAGCAUCGUUUCUAGUCCUAGGCCUUUACCUAGCCUGGGUCAGUGGCCAGCAGGAGAAACAUGACCAGCAAGAGGUGAAACAAAGUCCCCAGUCUCUGACUGUCUGGGAAAAAGAGACUGCCAUUCUGAACUGCACUUAUGAUAACAAUGCAUUUGACUACUUCACAUGGUACCGGCAGCUCCCUGGGGAAGGCCCUGCACUUCUGACCUUCAUACGAUCUGUGUCUAAUAAAAAGGAAGAUGGAAGAUUCACUGUCUUCUUCAGUAAAAAGGAGAAAAAGUUCUCCUUGCACAUCGCAGACACUCAGCCUGGAGACUCAGCCACCUACUUCUGUGCAGCAAGUGCACUGUGCUCUCCAGGCACCUGUAGCCCACACACAAACCUGCAGCUGAGGCUCCAGCUGUGGUGUUGA